CGGAGAAGACGGAAGGAACAGAGAUGUCAUUAUUUACGCCAGAUUAUAGACCCACACACACACACAGAGACACAAGUUGAUUAAGGGCGCUACCCGGAGACGGGCUCCAAGGACCCAACGGGAGGGCCGGGCACGCGCCCCCCACCGGAACAACGACGGGUGGCAUCACGUCAAACCUCGACGGAAAAGGAAAAGAAAAGGUUCGACUCACAGCGUCGUUCAGGUGUACAAAGGACCGACGGAAGGAAGAAACACUUGAGCGGGAUGAAAGAAACAGAGGAAAACGGGGCCAUUUGGGAUGAAAAAAGUAUUUGAAUAAUAAAAGAAACAACUCAAAACUACGAACUGUAAAGGAAGCAAGUUGGUGGCUGUGAAGCGUGAAAUGCUCCUUGCUGUUUUUGCUCCCUUAGAUGGUCACGGUCCGGUGAUGUCACCCGCAAUAAAACCGCUGUGCAACCUCGAGGAGUCGUGACCUUCUGCCGCCGACGCUUGGAGGUCACACGACUUCAACACCAUCGCGUGUACAAAAGAUAAGACACAAAGAGGAGCGGCUACAGUGUAUAAUGUGUUUGGCGCCUUUAUGAUGCUUUUUUACCAUUUCAAAAGAGACGUCUUCGUCUUCGUGAGCGGGAGGCGUGACCUGCAGUAAGAUCCACCACACCACCGUUCCUUUCACCCGAUGUGUUUCCACAGACUCAUGGAGAAAUGUUGGACUUUGCAAGUGUGGUGUUUUAAACUGAUGUUCCAAAGUCAUUUCAAUGUACGUGAAUGACAAUGACCAAUAAUUGUAAACCAACCUGAAGAAGUUUGAACUAUUUAUUUAUUAGCCGAGUGCUAAUUGGACAGUGGUUGUAUUUGCACUUUUACAUUCAAAGCACCGGUUUUCAUGUGUGUGU
Long non-coding RNA from Gasterosteus aculeatus aculeatus (three-spined stickleback), 896 nucleotides. The record is from Ensembl. NCBI's taxonomy places the organism in Eukaryota, Metazoa, Chordata, Actinopteri, Perciformes, Gasterosteidae.